This 485-nucleotide ribosomal RNA is filed under the name Cortinarius tortuosus. RNAcentral's name for it is "eukaryotic LSU rRNA". The stretch from base 151 to 304 matches the Rfam family "5.8S ribosomal RNA". Lineage: Eukaryota; Fungi; Basidiomycota; Agaricomycetes; Agaricales; Cortinariaceae. The record is from RNAcentral.
UGGGUUGUUGCUGGUUCUCUUGGGAGCAUGUGCACGCCUUGUCAUCUUUAUAUCUCCACCUGUGCACCCUUUGUAGACCUUCCCAGGUCUAUGUUGCUUCAUUUACCCCAAUGUAUGUUAAUAGAAUGUUGUGACUAUAAAAAUCUAUACAACUUUCAGCAACGGAUCUCUUGGCUCUCGCAUCGAUGAAGAACGCAGCGAAAUGCGAUAAGUAAUGUGAAUUGCAGAAUUCAGUGAAUCAUCGAAUCUUUGAACGCACCUUGCGCUCCUUGGUAUUCCGAGGAGCAUGCCUGUUUGAGUGUCAUUAAUAUAUAUCAACCUCUCUUGUUGAGUGGCUUGGAUGUGGGGGGGUUUUGCUGGCCUGUUCAGCUCCUCUGAAAUACAUUAGCAGAACAAACCUGUUCAUUGGUGUGAUAACUAUCUACGCUAUUGAAUGUGAGGGGCAGUUCAGCUUUCCAACAGUCCUUGGACAACUUAUCAUUUAU